GACGAACGCUGGCGGCGUGCUUAACACAUGCAAGUCGAACGGAAAGGCUCCAGCUUGCUGGAGUACUCGAGUGGCGAACGGGUGAGUAACACGUGGGCAAUCUGCCCUGCACUCUGGGAUAAGCCUGGGAAACUGGGUCUAAUACUGGAUAGGACCUUUCUCCUCAUGGGGUUUGGUGGAAAGUUUUUCGGUGCAGGAUGAGCCCGCGGCCUAUCAGCUUGUUGGUGGGGUAAUGGCCUACCAAGGCGACGACGGGUAGCCGGCCUGAGAGGGUGAUCGGCCACAUUGGGACUGAGAUACGGCCCAGACUCCUACGGGAGGCAGCAGUGGGGAAUAUUGCACAAUGGGCGGAAGCCUGAUGCAGCGACGCCGCGUGAGGGAUGACGGCCUUCGGGUUGUAAACCUCUUUCAGUAGGGACGAAGCGUAAGUGACGGUACCUGCAGAAGAAGCACCGGCUAACUACGUGCCAGCAGCCGCGGUAAUACGUAGGGUGCGAGCGUUGUCCGGAAUUACUGGGCGUAAAGAGCUCGUAGGCGGUUUGUCACGUCGUCUGUGAAAUCCUAGGGCUUAACCCUGGACGUGCAGGCGAUACGGGCUGACUUGAGUACUACAGGGGAGACUGGAAUUUCUGGUGUAGCGGUGGAAUGCACAGAUAUCAGGAAGAACACCGAUGGCGAAGGCAGGUCUCUGGGUAGUAACUGACGCUGAGGAGCGAAAGCAUGGGUAGCGAACAGG
Molecule: ribosomal RNA, 736 nt
Filed under: uncultured Actinomycetes bacterium
Lineage: Bacteria; Bacillati; Actinomycetota; Actinomycetes
Also listed under: 1 other name
Description: bacterial SSU rRNA
Rfam family: Bacterial small subunit ribosomal RNA
Source: RNAcentral